RNAcentral lists this ribosomal RNA (495 nucleotides) under uncultured bacterium. RNAcentral describes it as "partial 16S ribosomal RNA". It matches the Rfam family "Bacterial small subunit ribosomal RNA", at positions 28 to 507 of the family's 1533-position model. The record is from RNAcentral.
GACGAACGCUGGCGGCGUGCCUAAUACAUGCAAGUAGAACGCUGAAGGAGGAGCUUGCUUCUCUGGAUGAGUUGCGAACGGGUGAGUAACGCGUAGGUAACCUGCCUGGUAGCGGGGGAUAACUAUUGGAAACGAUAGCUAAUACCGCAUAAGAGUAGAUGUUGCAUGACAUUUGCUUAAAAGGUGCAAUUGCAUCACUACCAGAUGGACCUGCGUUGUAUUAGCUAGUUGGUGGGGUAACGGCUCACCAAGGCGACGAUACAUAGCCGACCUGAGAGGGUGAUCGGCCACACUGGGACUGAGACACGGCCCAGACUCCUACGGGAGGCAGCAGUAGGGAAGCUUCGGCAAUGGACGGAAGGCUGACCGAGCAACGCCGCGUGAGGGAAGAAGGUUUUCGGAUCGUAAAGCUCUGUUGUAAGAGAAGAACGAGUGUGAGAGUGGAAAGUUCACACUGUGACGGUAUCUUACCAGAAAGGGACGGCUAACUACGUG